GAUGAACGCUGGCGGCGUGCCUAAUACAUGCAAGUCGAGCGAACAGACGCGGACCUUGCUCCUCUGACGUUAGCGGCGGCCGGGUGAUUAACACGUGGAUAACCUCCCUCUCAGACUGGCAUAACUUCGGCAAACCGGAGCUACUACCGGAUAAUAUCUUGCACCGCAUGGAUCAAUAGUGAAAGACGGUUUUUGUGUCACUUCUAGAUCGAUCCGCGACGCCUUAGCUAGUUGUCAAGGUAACGGCUUACCAAGGCAACGAUGAGUCGCCGACCCGAAGGGGUGGUGUGCCACACUGGAACUGAGCCACGGUCCAGACUCCUACGGGAGGCGGCAGUAGGGAAUCUUCCGCAAUGGGCGAAAGCUUGACGGAGCAACGCCGCGUGAGGGAUGAAGGUCUUCGGAUCGUAAAACUCUGUUAUUAGGGAAGAACAAAUGUGUAAGUAACUAUGCACGUCUUGACGGUACCUAAUCAGAAAGCCACGGCUAACUACGUG
RNAcentral lists this ribosomal RNA (497 nucleotides) under uncultured bacterium. RNAcentral describes it as "partial 16S ribosomal RNA". It matches the Rfam family "Bacterial small subunit ribosomal RNA", at positions 28 to 507 of the family's 1533-position model. The record is from RNAcentral.